CAGCAGCAGCCGCGGUAAUACAGAGGGUGCGAGCGUUAAUCGGAUUUACUGGGCGUAAAGCGUGCGUAGGCGGCUUCUUAAGUCGGAUGUGAAAUCCCUGAGCUUAACUUAGGAAUUGCAUUCGAUACUGGGAAGCUAGAGUAUGGGAGAGGAUGAUAGAAUUCCAGGUGUAGCGGUGAAAUGCGUAGAGAUCUGGAGGAAUACCGAUGGCGAAGGCAGCCAUCUGGCCUAAUACUGACGCUGAGGUACGAAAGCAUGGGGAGCAAACAGGAUUAGAUACCCCGGUAGUCCCUGUCUCUUAUAA
Molecule: ribosomal RNA, 304 nt
Filed under: uncultured bacterium
Lineage: Bacteria
Description: partial 16S ribosomal RNA
Rfam family: Bacterial small subunit ribosomal RNA
Source: RNAcentral